AUUGAACGCUGGCGGCAUGCCUUACACAUGCAAGUCGAACGGUAACAGGUCUUCGGAUGCUGACGAGUGGCGAACGGGUGAGUAAUACAUCGGAACGUGCCUAGUAGUGGGGGAUAACUACUCGAAAGAGUGGCUAAUACCGCAUGAGAUCUACGGAUGAAAGCAGGGGAUCGCAAGACCUUGUGCUACUAGAGCGGCCGAUGGCAGAUUAGGUAGUUGGUGGGAUAAAAGCUUACCAAGCCGAGGAUCUGUAGGUGGGCUGGGAGGACGAUCAGCCACACUGGGACUGAGACACGGCCCAGACUCCUACGGGAGGCAGCAGUGGGGAAUUUUGGACAAUGGGCGCAAGCCUGAUCCAGCAAUGCCGCGUGCAGGAUGAAGGCCUUCGGGUUGUAAACUGCUUUUGUACGGAACGAAAAGCCCCGGGUUAAUACCCUGGGGUCAUGACGGUACCGUAAGAAUAAGCACCGGCUAACUACGUGCCAGCCGCCGCCGUAA
This 498-nucleotide ribosomal RNA is filed under the name uncultured bacterium. RNAcentral's name for it is "partial 16S ribosomal RNA". It matches the Rfam family "Bacterial small subunit ribosomal RNA", at positions 30 to 523 of the family's 1533-position model. The record is from RNAcentral.